This 411-nucleotide ribosomal RNA is filed under the name Cyclopodia greeffi. RNAcentral describes it as "partial large subunit ribosomal RNA". Lineage: Eukaryota; Metazoa; Arthropoda; Insecta; Diptera; Nycteribiidae. The record is from RNAcentral.
CAAAAACAUGUCUUUAUAGAUUAAAAAUAUAAAGUUUAACCUGCCCACUGAUUAAUUUUAAAUGGCUGCAGUAUAUUGACUGUACAAAGGUAGCAUAAUAAUUAGUUUUUUAAUUGAAAACUGGAAUGAAUGGUUUGAUGAAAUAUAAACUGUUUUUAAAAAAUUAUAAUAGAAUUUUAUAUUUAAGUAAAAAAGCUUAAAUAUUAUUAAAAGACGAGAAGACCCUAUAAAUCUUUAUAUUUUAUAAAUUUAAUAUAAUUUAGAAAUUUUUUAUUUAUGUUUAUAAAAUAUUUUAUUGGGGUGAUAGUAAAAUUUGAUAAACUUUUAUAUUAUAUUAUUCAUUAAUUUAUGAUUUUUUGAAUAAUUUUUAAUGAUUAUUAAAAUAAGAUACUUUAGGGAUAACAGCGUAAA